This 471-nucleotide ribosomal RNA is filed under the name Salmonella enterica. RNAcentral's name for it is "bacterial SSU rRNA". It matches the Rfam family "Bacterial small subunit ribosomal RNA", at positions 1 to 468 of the family's 1533-position model. RNAcentral also lists the same sequence under 2 other names. The record is from RNAcentral. Lineage: Bacteria; Pseudomonadati; Pseudomonadota; Gammaproteobacteria; Enterobacterales; Enterobacteriaceae.
AAAUUGAAGAGUUUGAUCAUGGCUCAGAUUGAACGCUGGCGGCAGGCCUAACACAUGCAAGUCGAACGGUAACAGGAAGCAGCUUGCUGUUUCGCUGACGAGUGGCGGACGGGUGAGUAAUGUCUGGGAAACUGCCUGAUGGAGGGGGAUAACUACUGGAAACGGUGGCUAAUACCGCAUAACGUCGCAAGACCAAAGAGGGGGACCUUCGGGCCUCUUGCCAUCAGAUGUGCCCAGAUGGGAUUAGCUAGUUGGUGAGGUAACGGCUCACCAAGGCGACGAUCCCUAGCUGGUCUGAGAGGAUGACCAGCCACACUGGAACUGAGACACGGUCCAGACUCCUACGGGAGGCAGCAGUGGGGAAUAUUGCACAAUGGGCGCAAGCCUGAUGCAGCCAUGCCGCGUGUAUGAAGAAGGCCUUCGGGUUGUAAAGUACUUUCAGCGGGGAGGAAGGUGUUGUGGUUAAUAACC